UAAGGAAUAUUGGGCAAUGGACGCAAGUCUGACCCAGCCAUGCCGCGUGAAGGAUGAAUGUCCUAUGGAUUGUAAACUUCUUUUAUGCAGGAAAAACAUUCGGGUCGUGAACCCGGACUGAUGGUACUGCAUGAAUAAGCAUCGGCUAACUCCGUGCCAGCAGCCGCGGUAAUACGGAGGAUGCAAGCGUUAUCCGGAUUCAUUGGGUUUAAAGGGUGCGCAGGCGGAAUGAUAAGUCAGUGGUGAAAUCUCUCAGCUUAACUGAGAAACUGCCAUUGAUACUGUCGUUCUUGAGUACAGUUGAAGUGGGCGGAAUGUGUCAUGUAGCGGUGAAAUGCUUAGAUAUGACACAGAACACCGAUAGUGAAGACAGCUCACUAAGCUGUAACUGACGCUCAUGCACGAAAGCGUGGGGAUCAAACAG
Molecule: ribosomal RNA, 424 nt
Filed under: uncultured bacterium
Lineage: Bacteria
Description: bacterial SSU rRNA
Rfam family: Bacterial small subunit ribosomal RNA
Source: RNAcentral